GUCAAUGAUGAGACUUUAUUUGGUCUUGAAGACAGAAGAUCACAUAAAAAUGAUGGCAAUAAAAACUCUGGGGACC
This 76-nucleotide small nucleolar RNA is filed under the name Carlito syrichta (Philippine tarsier). Its description in RNAcentral is "Small nucleolar RNA SNORD115 (ENSTSYG00000021066.2)". The record is from RNAcentral. Lineage: Eukaryota; Metazoa; Chordata; Mammalia; Primates; Tarsiidae.